UUAAUGUAGGUUUGGGGGCUUGGGCUCAGGUGGUCAGGUCUCUGUCCUAGGUACUUUUAUCUGCUGAGCCAUCCCACUGACUCCGUCUUAUGAUUUUGAGAUAGAGUCUCUCGGUGUAACCCAGGCAGGCCUUUAACUGGAGAUGCUCUUGCCUCAGCCUCCUCAGUGCUGGGAUUAUGGGUGUACACGUGUAGGGGAUUUAAAAACAAAUUCCAAAUACCAGGCCAUAUCCUUGGCAAAUACUUCAAGGUCUUUCUUUUGGUAGAGCAGGUUAUAGACUACCUGAGGGGAGGGAGGAUUGGCUUCGAGGAGGAGUCUCUGGCCUUUCUGCUUGGGCUAGUUUGCCUAGGGGACUUCUGGGAGCUCAGCGAUCCCUAGGGUAGAAGGUACAAGCAAGACCUAGACAUCUACUGUUCUUUACCUCCCCAACUAGGGAAGAAGCAGUUACCAGAUAUUCAUCUUCUGGCCCAACGAUUGCUGCUGAGAAGGGAGUUCAUUCCCGCCCCGCAGGGGACCAACGUCUUGUUUGCUUUCUUUGCACAACACUUCACCCACCAGUUCUUCAAGACCUCUGGAAAGAUGGGUCCUGGCU
This 592-nucleotide long non-coding RNA is filed under the name Rattus norvegicus (Norway rat). Its description in RNAcentral is "long non-coding RNA NONRATT018075". The record is from RNAcentral. Lineage: Eukaryota; Metazoa; Chordata; Mammalia; Rodentia; Muridae.